UCCUACACUUGACCUAGACAGCCUUACAUAAUGAAGCACCAGUGCUGGGGAGCUCUCUGAAUGUCAUCACCAGCAAGAGCAAGAAGUAUUGGCAGCAGCAGGCAGCCAGGCAGGCUGGGAGUUUGCAUGGAAAUCAUGAAGUCUUUCUUGUCUUCCUCUUUUGAAAUAUUUUGGAAGGCGAGUUAAGAAUAGCUCAGAAACUGGUCUCAUUCUUUUUGUGGGAAGAAUGACCAGAAGCAUAAAAGCUAAGUCUUCCAGCAAGUGCAAGACACCUCUUUCGGUGUUUGCAGUAAACCUAACAAGAAUGAAUUGCUAUCAGUAAAGUCCUGUACCAUGACACCUAAAAGGAAGGAGAUGGUAAAGCAAAGUAAUAACUCAAAGACAGUCACCAAGGGCUUUUGUCCACCUUUAACUCAUUGUGGAACUUGAUAUCAUCAGACAGUAAAUCAAGAGGUACUGACAACUGAGACUGAGUGAUGGUCCCUGCCUAGGAUUUGGAAUCUUUGCAUGAAAUAGGGACUCUAGCCACCAGCGACAAAGAAGUCAGGGAGACUGCGGUCUCUAGGAAGCACUUCCAGGAAACAGGAAUUCAGGCAAAGUUGGACAUUCCAAAGAUGGCGUAGAUGAACAUGACCAGGAAGAGCAGGAGGCCGAUGUUAAACAACGCAGGAAGGGACAUCAUCAAAGCAAAGAGCAGCGUGCGGAUCCCCUUUGCUCCUUUGACUAGACGUAGGAUUCGGCCAAUCCUGGCAAGACGGAUCACUCGGAACAGGGCAAAGGGUUAUCAACUGUGCUGCACUCUGAGGAGCUUGACCGGUUUAAUCUCUAGAAAGGAAUUCACCACCCCACCAGCACGCGGAACACAAUCAGGAAGGAGUGGAAGAAGUCGUUCAUGUGCCACCGUGGGAGCGUACAGUCAUCAUUGAUCUUGCAGACACAUUCUUUGUAGCUCUUACCAAAGAGCUGCAUGCCGACCACAGCAAAAAUGAAGACGAUGAUGGCCAACACUAAGCCUUUAGACUAAAAAGAAAACAAAUAUUACAUACCCUGAAUCUGUGCUGAAACCACAAAGGAGAGCAUCUUUGGAUCCCUCCAAAUAAUAAAAGUAUUCUGUUGAAGAAGAAUUUGAACAGUUAUAACACUACAGACUUUAAUCUGUGAUUGUCAUAAAGCAGGUCAAAUUAAAAAAUCUGAUUAUUGGGAGACUUUUGGAGUAAUCAUGGAAGAAAGACUAUGAAAUCAGAUAUUCUUGGAUUUGAAUGUUGCUUCUAUCCCUUCUUAAGUUUUAUUCAUUUUUAAACAAGAACUGGGAAAAAGUGUAAACCUAAUUGGCACUGCAUAGACUAUCCAUCCAAGUGCUGAGCAUGGAGGAAGAUGAUCAAUCUCAAUGAUGUCACAUACCUCUGAGUGGGAGAUAGUCUUUUUGAAAAAUUUAGUAUUUGCCUAUCAAUGACUAGCUUUCAUAUAGCUUCCAUUUUCCUUUAAAUACAGACAUUCCAUGCUGGAAAAAUCAGACCCCAGAGGUUUGCUGUUAUUGGAACACUGUGCUGCCUGAGAUUUUCAUAAAUUUGCCAUUUCAAAAAGCUGAAAGUACUUACGCAAAAACAAUGACGACA
This is a long non-coding RNA of Gorilla gorilla gorilla (western lowland gorilla), 1616 nucleotides long. RefSeq lists it as uncharacterized. The transcript has 8 exons. Lineage: Eukaryota; Metazoa; Chordata; Mammalia; Primates; Hominidae. The record is from RefSeq and is a predicted model, not a curated record.